UUUCUGGAAUCUCGCUCAAACAGCGGCCGUACGAACCGGACCAGCCGAACCGACAAUCAACGGGACAGGCCGACCUGCCGGAGUUCGAGAGUUGAGCGGCGGCCGGCGGGGAAGAGGAGGCCGGCAAGAUGUCUUCCGUGUACGUGCUGGAGCCGCCGACGAAGGGGAAGGUGGUGGUGCAGACAACGGCCGGUCCAAUCGACAUUGAGCUGUGGGCGAAGGAGGCUCCCAAGGCCACGCGCAACUUCGUGCAGCUAUGCCUGGAGGGCUACUACGACGACACCCUCUUCCACCGCGUCAUCAAGUCCUUCCUCAUCCAGGGCGGUGACCCCACCGGCUCCGGCACAGGUGGUGAGAGCAUCUAUGGAGCCCCGUUUUCUGAUGAGUUCCACUCGCGCCUGAGGUUUAACCACAGGGGUUUAUUGGCGUGCGCAAAUGCUGGCACACCUCAUUCGAACGGAAGCCAGUUCUUCAUUACUCUCGACCGUUGCGAUUGGCUUGAUAAGAAGAAUACUAUUUUCGGGAAGGUCACUGGGGAUUCUGUCUUCAACCUUCUGGCCUUGGCUGAUAUCGAGACCGAUAAAGAUGAUCGGCCCGUGUACCCACAGAAAAUUCUCUCGGUGGAGGUACUCUGGAACCCAUUUGAUGAUAUAGUCCCAAGGCAAAUUAAGAAGAUUCAGCCUGCUGCCAAAGCUGAUGCUGACGGUAAACCAAAAAAGAAAGCUGUGAAGCAACUUAAUGUGCUUUCGUUUGGAGAUGAAGUAGAAGAGGAGGAGAAUGAGGCAGCUUCCUUUGUGAAGGACAAAAUAAAAAGUAUCCAUGACGUGUUGGACGAUCCCCGUUUUCUUAAAGUGGAACCACAGAUUGAACAACUAUCCAAGGAGGAGGAGGAGAAGAAAAAUGAAACUGUUCUAUCUAUCAGGGAGGCUUUGAUCUCGAAGAAAACUGACUUCAGAGAGCCAGAGCAUGAUUCAGAAAAUGAUGAUUCUCCAGAAGACGAGAACGAGGAGGAUUUUGACAACAGGAUGCGUUCACGAAUUCUAAAAAAACGUAGGGAGCUUGGGGAUACACGACCUAGUGAGAAUUCCAAGAAAGAUAAAUCUCAUCGGAAGGAUAAAGAAUUACCAGCUCGCAGGAGUGAUGAUGAAGAAGAAGAAGAAGAUGAUGAUGAUCACCAGUCAUCGAAAUCACGGAAACUAUCCUUGAAGAAAAAAGGUAUUGGCUCUGAAGCCAAUACUGAAAGGAUGUCCAGGGGAGAUGUUAAUUUGCAACUGCUAAAUCCUGCUGAACAAGAGAAACAUUUGAAGAAACAGAGAAAACGCAGUCUCCAGGGCCGUGAAGAGGAGACUUUAGCAAGGUUACAGAAGUUCAAGGCCUCCUUUCUUAGUAAUAAGCCUGCUAAUAUGGAAACAAAGGCAGAUGAUGGUGAGGACUACAAAGAGUGGCACGCCAAUCGUCUCACUUUUGAAACUUCAAAGGAUGGUAUGACUAGGAAGGAUGAUCCAAAUGACUAUGUUGUGGUCGAUCCUCUUCUGGAGAAAGGAAAGCAGAAGUUCAAUAAGAUGCAAGCGAAGCUAAAAAAGAGAGAUCGUGAAUGGGCUGGCAGAUCUCUCACCUAAUUCUUUCUGAGACGUGCAGUCUACAAAAAAUGUAAACCCGUCUACCACACAAUUCCGCUGCUGCAGUUUUGGUGUUGGGUUGCAGUUGGAAGCUGAGCAUAACAGAUGCAGGUUUGGGAUGUUAGUGAUCACUUGGUCAACGAAAGUGUAAAUAGCAUAGCACACAUUUGUUUACUCUCUGCGAAAGAAAGCUGGGUGCGUCAGUGCGUGCUGGUCGUUGCUGGAUGAAGAACGUGGACUUUUGGUGUUGUGUGACUAGAGGAAUCUCACUAUCAGAAACCCUAAUGGAUUGGAUUGGCUGCA
Molecule: RNA transcript, 1922 nt
Organism: Lolium perenne
Lineage: Eukaryota; Viridiplantae; Streptophyta; Magnoliopsida; Poales; Poaceae
Gene name: peptidyl-prolyl cis-trans isomerase CYP57
Source: RefSeq, a predicted model, not a curated record